CCAAAGGCUCUUUUCAGAGCCACUCAUGUAGUCUAGAAAGAAGCUG
Mesocricetus auratus (golden hamster) is the source of this 46-nucleotide non-coding RNA. Lineage: Eukaryota; Metazoa; Chordata; Mammalia; Rodentia; Cricetidae. The record is from Rfam.